Aedes albopictus (Asian tiger mosquito) is the source of this 6819-nucleotide long non-coding RNA. RefSeq lists it as uncharacterized. The record is from RefSeq and is a predicted model, not a curated record. The transcript is spliced from 2 exons. NCBI's taxonomy places the organism in Eukaryota, Metazoa, Arthropoda, Insecta, Diptera, Culicidae.
GGAGCUUGACUCGUGAGAGCGAGAUGUUGCAUGAAAAUCUCGCGCGUGAGAAAAUGAUUCAGAAUCGCGCGCGAGUUUGCUCACGCUGGAGCGGUUCAUGAGUCUGCUUUGAGUGUGAUUUUACCAACACUGCUUACGUCAGCUCCGCGUGUCGUUCUACACGGGGGUUCCUGACACGGUCCGGCGGUCGAUGAAUUCUGGUGGGACGAACGGGUCGACGAUGCGGCUACUUAAUGCUGACCUUGAACGAGAGUGGGAUUACCGGUGGCGGUGGCUUGAUGAGGGUUACUGCAGCACGUCGCGAAAUGUUCCUUAGCUAGCGGGUGCUUCAGUCUAAUCCGUCAACAGCACAAAUCGUAACACCUCGCCCACAAGCCCUCAACUGCACGGAUGGGAUUGCGAAUAACAAAACCGUUUACGUCCAUGUUCUACAAUCAAGUCAAUAUAUUUCUCGAAUUCUUUACAUCUGAUCACUUAUGACUAAAACUCAGUGAGUCCCAGCCUGGGAGUGUUGUUGAGAUUUCCGAAAGCAGGGUUUCGAUACCUGCUAUUACAACACUCUCGUCAUACUCAGUGCUUCCGCUGGCUUCCACCCACAUCGCCACCCGCUGCAGGUGACUACUGGACUCUCCACACCUUCAUUGCGCGUUGGCGUGCCGUGGCGCAAACCAGUCCAACAGUCGCGUUCCAUCCAUAAUCAGAGCUGAUCCUGCAAAAUUUUCCGUGUUAUAAAGUUUGUCGACCUUUGGUAAAUAGAAUUUUACUCACGAUUUCGGUCCAAGUUUUCUGUAUCCAAAUUGACAAAUAUAGAAUGCAUCACAACAAUUUUUUUCAAAAUCUUUGACAUUCGCGUAUUUCAAUGCUAAGUCGAUGGAAAAACAUAAAAAUGCAUUUGUAUACAUUAAAUGCAAAUCGAAUGCACAUUCAAAGAGUGAUCCGCCCCUUGGCAGUAGUACAAAUCAUUCAUUGUGAGGGUGACUUUGGCCCAUAUAAAAGCAAUGCAAUCAGUACGAGAACCCUACAAAUGUGAAUUAAAACAACUGAGAGUAUUCACUUUAUUUUAUGCAUAAAACGGUGCUUGUUUUAGAAAUUAAUGUGAGAUUCAUAUGCGAAUCAAAAAUGCACGCAUAUCUGUUUCUAGGUUGAUGAUUAGGAAAUAUUACUUUCGUCUUUUGAGAGAGCCAGUUUGAGUUAUAUCUAAGUGAUACACACUUAUUCUUUAUUUAGGAGUUCGGUAGUUUUUUCAACUGGACUCCAACUGUAAAUUACGAAAAAAGCGACAGUUCAGUGUUUUUGACUAACGAAUUCUGACCUUCGGUGAAUGAACAUCACAUUUUACUGGCUCCAGUAGAAUCAAGUACCGAACCCACAGUAAUGUUGAUAAUUUACCGAAUAAAGGAAAAGUCAGUAAAAACAAAGUACCGACUUUCAGUAGCUUUUGUUGGUUUACUGAGUUUUCCCUCAAACGGAACAUAAACAGCGCUUUCAAGCAGCUGUCAAAUAACAAUUGCAUCACCAGGCUCCGGCAACGGCUGAAUCAUUUGUUCCUUUGCUUACCGGAAUUUUCACUACUUUUGGCUGGAAAAAUGAGCAAUUGCUGCGUCUUCGAUAAACUGGGUAAGUAAGAAUUAUCAGCGACUAUUUUGCAUAUCUGCCUCGGCGGUUGUGUAUUUAAUGUUACAUUCUGCCGUCGGAAACAAACCACAUCUUGCUCCGCCAAGUUCAGACACAGGGCAAAUUUUGUCUGAUAGCCGCUGAUUUUUCUUUUUAUCCAGUGCUGUGGCAGGACAGAUUCUCAUGGCCACAGCGUUCCGAUGUAUAACUAUUGAUGCAUGCACUGAUGAUUAACCCAAAAUGGGUAAUGGAAAAAUCAAGGGAAACAUAGAUAGUUUGAAUCCCGAUGAGCUGGGUGCUGGAAGUAAAUAAACAAAUGCUGAAAAAGUCGGUAAAAAAUCCCUGAAAAUUUUACUGACUUUUUCGGUAAUGUUUGACAAAUAAGAAAUUUUUCAAAAUACCUACUUUUCGGUAAUGGAAAAAGUUACCGAGUAGUCAGCAGUUCAAAAACCCAGUAAAAAAGUACCGACGUCGGUAAUUGAUAUUAGCUGUGUAGCAGAUGUAUUGCAACGGAUCAUUGAUCUUAAUGAUUGUGAUCAAAUUUUCACGUUUGUUUGUCUGUGAUGUUAUUUUAAAGUGACUAUACACUGAUAGGUGGUGCGCAAGCAUCUAUAUACAGGGGAUGGCCAAAAUGUUUGGGAUAGGCAACUUUUUUUCUCCCAUAAAAAAAUUCAACAUGCUAUAACUUUUCAUAGAGUGCAUCAAAAAAUCUCAAAUUUUGAUUGUUUAUCAACCUGUUAUAUGUGCAUCAUUUGUACAAAUUUGGACUCGAUUGAAUAAUUUUUCGCGAAGUUAGAACCGUUCGGGUAAAACACUAUUUUUUGGACAACUCAUUUUUGAGCUGUUAUAUCUCGGAAACCAGUGAACCGAAUUGAAUGAAUUUUUUAACGUUUAUCAAUAAUGUAUUGAUACUUAAUACAACGUUAUAAAAUGUUAUAUUUUCUCACGAUGAAUUAAGUUAUACCGGGUUGAAAUUUUUACCUAUAUAGAGGAAAAUAAGUCAAAUUUACAAUACAACACAAAAAUUACUAAAUGUGUUAUUUAUUUAAUCUAAAUAGGCUCUAAUAAGUCUGAUUAAUGAUAACUUGAGAACAGAAGCGGAAAAUUUUUGGGCAUAAACACUCAAAUUUAUUGACAUUGACGUAAAUGCAUUUGAACAACGCAGAUUUAUGAUAUUUACUGAAAGAUGUUGAACAUUCACAAUCAAAUGAGCAUGUCGAAUAACAUUUGUAGAGAUUGUACUGUUAUAAAGGAAAUUUGAACACCCCUAAAAUAUUUUUUAUUAAAUUAUCUGAAACUUUAAGAUUUGGACAAGAGAUUGGUAAAAUAAUUUUGAAAAUCGAUUAAGUCAUCGCUGAGAUAUAGCCAAUUGAAAAUUUAAUUGCAACCAGGGAUGCCACAUAUACAGAUUUUUCUGUAAUCAUGCAGAUUUUCUCGUAGCUUUUCAUACAGAAUUCUGUAUACCAAUAUUACAGAUUUUUGAAAAUUAUACAGAAUAUACAGAUUUUCCAGAAACUUACAGAAUUUCAAACAGAUUUUCCACGAAAUAUUACAGAUUUCAUACAGAUUUUUGGCAAAAAAUGGUGAUACAGAUUAAAAAGAUUUUUGAAAGGCAAAAUACAGAUUUAAAUGUGGCAACACUGAUUGCAACUAACCACUGUUCCGGGAGCGCUAGGGAUGUUCAUGUUUUUUCUUUAGGCUUUCGAUGUGCAUUCAGUUAUCUUAAACUAUAUUCAUUUGAAUCACUAAGAUUUAUGAUGUUUACUGAAAUAUUUUGAACGUUUACAAUCAAAUGGGCACGCCCAAAAAAAAUUGUAUCAGUUGCACUUUUCUAUAGGGAAUUUGAACAUCCCUAGAAUGAUUUCUGUUCAGUUAUCUAAAACGUUAGGAUUCGGACAAGAGAUACAUAAAAAAAUGAAAAUCGGUUGAGCCAUCGCUGAGAUAUAGUCAUUUGAAGAUUGAGUUACAACUAAUUUUCGAUCACGGGGCUCCGCGUAACUUUUUUGAUCUCGUAAGUAACUUUUUUGAUAUGUAAGUUCUACAUGAAGUUCUACAGUGCGUCCUGCAACGGCUUCGUGGCACGAGCCGGUAUAUGCAAGGAUAAGGACGGAAGCCUCCAGACGGACGGGCGUGAGGUGAUUGAAAAGUGGAAGCAGCACUUCGAUCAGCAUCUGAAUGGCGUGGAGAACGUAGGCAACUGAGGAAACGACGACGCCAGUGCAGCGGAGGACGGAAAUGAACCAACUCCCACGCUGAGGGAAGUUAAGGAUGCCAUUCACCAGCUCAAAACCAACAAAGCAGCAGGUAACGAUGGUAUCGCAGCUGAACUCACCAAGAUGGGCCCAGAAAAUUUGGCCACCUGUCUGCAUCGGCUGAUAGUCAGGAUCUGGGAAACCGAACAGCUACCGGAGGAGUGGAAGGAAGGGGUAAUCUGCCCCAUUCACAAGAAAGGCGACCAUUUGGAAUAUGAGAACUUCAGGGCGAAAACCAUUUCGAAUGCCGCCUACAAAGUGCUAUCCCAGAACAUCUUCCGCUGUCUAUCACCUUAAGUAGAUUAGUUCGUGGGAAGUUGUCAAGCUGGUUUCAGCGACGGCCGGUCGACAAUGGACCAGAUCUUCACCGUACGGCAAAUGCUCCAUAUAUGCCGUGCAUAUCAGGUCCCAACGCAUCACCUGUUCAUCGACUUCAAUUCGGCAUACGUCAGUAUCGGCCGCACAGAGCUAUGGAAAAUCAUGGACUAGAACAGCUUUCCCGGGAAGCUUACCAGUCUGAUAAGAGCAAUGAUGGACGGGGUGCAAAACAGCAUAAGGAUUUCGGGUGAAUUAUCCAGUUCAUUCGAACCUCGCUGGGGACUGCGACAAGGUAAUGGACUUUCCUGCCUAAUAUUCAACAUCGCCCUCGAAGGUGUUAUGCGACGAGCCGGGCGCAACAGCCGGGGAAUAAUUUUCACAAAAUCCGUUCAAUUUGUGUGCUUUGCGGACGACAUGGAUAUUAUUGCCAGAACAUUUGGAACGGUGGCAGAGCUGUACACCCGCCUGACACACGAAGCAGCAAAGGUCGGACUGGUGGUAAAUGCCUCAAAAACAAAGUACAUGCUGAUAGGUGGAACCGACGUGGUGUAUUGACGGAACUGACGUCCGAGUAUUGAUGUGCUUACCGCAAUAUCCGGUCUAGUUGUCACGGCUAAAUACAAUAAACCGCCGAUGAGGCUCUGAUACAUCUCGUUGUUCAGCAGCCUGUCUCACUCCUCCUUUUGUUGGAUAUAGCCAGACUCCAUUGGAAUUCUGGAACAUUCUGCUUCUUGCAUUCCAAACCGUUCUGCCAGUUGCCGGAUGUAUGCAGUUUGGUUAAGGUAGUAGUUGUUUCCACGCUUCUCGAUCUCUAUUCCGAGGUCCUGAAGCGAUUUUCGAGGUUGAGAAACGAGAGCUUGUGACUGGCAUCAAAACUCAACCCUGUGGAAUCGAAGCGGUUUGCGAGUGCUGCGUCGAGGGAUAGAUAACCCGAAAUCCUUUUCCCAAGAAGGCCAUACAAAAUCAAAACCGAUCAUGGAUCUGGUGCAUAGCGACCAUAAUGGGUAGUACGCUGAUCGCAAGAAAUUUCUUGGCCUAUCUCGAUGCGUGAAAAUUCAGGCAAGGAAUCGCUCAAGAAAUAAUAAAGCGUCGCUUUAUUCCGGAACCUUGUUUUAAAUGGGCUAAAUGUAUUUUCAUACUUGUGCGUCUUGAGCAACGAACAAAGUUGAAGCCGAAAGCGAAGAAGAUGACGUUUGUUGGAUGCUCUCCACAGCACAAAGGAUACCGAAUGAUUGAUUUGAAGACCAAUACACGGAGAAACGAAAUAACUCAAAACUGAGAUUAAAAGAACUUAAAAUUAAGUACUCUGCCAACACUAUUGAAUUGAGUACAAUUUUGUUCUUGUUGUUGGAUACUUUUAACUUAAAGUUAAAGUUAAACUUAAAGGCACCUUUACUCAAAUCUGGGUUACCGAUAUUUGUGGCAAAAUCUGGGUAAACGGUACCCAGCUCCUCCGGGGCCUUUAUUUUGUUAAUUUAUUUUCAAUUAAGAUUUUUAAUUAAAAGCUCCCAACUUCCAUGUGAUGUUCACUUACCUGAUGCAGGAAAACAGUUCCCCGGUAUAAUUUAACUGUUUUCCCACCUUUUAUCGGCAUAUUUUUUUGCGAAAACAUUCAUAAUUUGCAGCGUUCUCUUGACCGCUGCCAUUUUCUUAAGCCGGAAAAUGACAAAGUGCCGAUUACCCAGAUCUUUACCCAGAUUCAACGAAUCUGGGUUUUCGCGUUACUCGGAUUUUGACAACUGCUAACAACAUAAAAAUCCGGGUCAAAUCGACCCAGUCGAUGGGUAGUUUCAGAUUAGCGUGUAUGGCGCAAAUACUUAGCUUUGAGUAAAUUUGGAGUUGAUAAUUUUGUUUUUUUUUUCGCUUCGAAAGUAUCCAAAAUUAGGUGUUGUUGCUAUACACGAUUUUGGGUGAAAAUUUUUAUCUGCGCCAUGUUGAUUUCAAGUUUGAUACUUGGUGAUCGUUUUGUCUGUUAAUUUCGGAAUCUUUCGUUACCAAAAAUGAGCCAAACGAAAAGCACGCCCCAUUUCCUGGAACAUUCCUGGACUUACACUUCGAACUACUUGAAAAGGAAAUGGUCACCUAUUCUUUCACUUUUUUAAUCACAGAUAAGAUCCAAGCAAUUUUCUUUCCGAGGGUUUCGGAUUUUUAAAAAAGACUGCACAUCAUGACAGUUGAGUCAAGACUAAUUUUAUUUCCACAGAAAAUUAAUAUCGAUCACACGAUCGGUUCUACUUAGUAACUACCCUUUGGACCUACGCACUGUUUCUGCUAACCUAAGCACUCAACGUUCGCGACUCGGUGCACUGACCGGUGUGCUGUCCGGGUCGCGUUUCCUUUAUGGUGGACGACCGUGGUUUGGUGCUAACUUCCAUACUGCAUUUAUUAAUUCAACGUAAUACUGAUGUUUUUCAUCAUUAUCAUCACAAACAGAACAUUCGACUGAUUUCCCGUUCGCUUCCCGCGCGAGUUCCGAUGAUGCAAACUCGGAUGCAAAAUGAUCACCAAACGCGACCGCUGCCGUAACCUAGAUCCGGAUGGCGUAUGCACCAGGCGAGAAUAUUUGUUAAUAAUAUGUCAUGUUAAUUUUAAAAUGGGUGAAGAAAAAUAAAAUUUAAACCUCGUUUGAAACCUA